RNAcentral lists this ribosomal RNA (141 nucleotides) under uncultured eukaryote. RNAcentral's name for it is "partial 18S ribosomal RNA". It matches the Rfam family "Eukaryotic small subunit ribosomal RNA", at positions 1299 to 1458 of the family's 1831-position model. The record is from RNAcentral.
UGGUGGAGUGAUUUGUCUGGUUAAUUCCGAUAACGAACGAGACCUUAACCUGCUAAUUAGUUAGGCCAACAAUUUUGUUGGUCUUCUAACUUCUUAGAGGGACUGUUGAUGUUUAAUCAACGGAAGUUUGAGGCAAUAACA